CAGAGAUUAGCUUGCUUAAUUUGUCAGCUAAGUGGCGCACGGGUGAGUAAUGUAUAGGUAAUAUGCCUCUUACUAAGGGAUAACAAAUGGAAACGUUUGCUAAUACCUUAUACUCCUUAUUAACUAAAGUUGGUAAGGGAAAGAUUUAUUGGUAAGAGAUUGGCCUGUAUUGUAUCAGUUAGUUGGUGGGGUAAUGGCCUACCAAGACUAUGACGCAUAACUGGUUUGAGAGGAUGAUCAGUCACACUGGAACUGAGACACGGUCCAGACUCCUACGGGAGGCAGCAGUGGGGAAUAUUGCACAAUGGACGAAAGUCUGAUGCAGCAACGCCGCGUGGAGGAUGACACAUUUCGGUGCGUAAACUCCUUUUAUAUAAGAAGAUAAUGACGGUAUUAUAUGAAUAAGCACCGGCUAACUCCGUGCCAGCAGCCGCGGUAAUACGGGGGGUGCAAGCGUUACUCGGAAUCACUGGGCGUAAAGAGCAUGUAGGCGGAUUGAUAAGUUUGAAGUGAAAUCCUAUAGCUUAACUAUAGAACUGCUUUGAAAACUGUUAGUCUAGAAUGUGGGAGAGGUAGAUGGAAUUUCUGGUGUAGGG
RNAcentral lists this ribosomal RNA (596 nucleotides) under uncultured Arcobacter sp. RNAcentral describes it as "bacterial SSU rRNA". It matches the Rfam family "Bacterial small subunit ribosomal RNA", at positions 68 to 680 of the family's 1533-position model. Lineage: Bacteria; Pseudomonadati; Campylobacterota; Epsilonproteobacteria; Campylobacterales; Arcobacteraceae. The record is from RNAcentral.